This is a long non-coding RNA of Bombus impatiens (common eastern bumble bee), 400 nucleotides long. RefSeq lists it as uncharacterized. The record is from RefSeq and is a predicted model, not a curated record. The transcript is spliced from 2 exons. Lineage: Eukaryota; Metazoa; Arthropoda; Insecta; Hymenoptera; Apidae.
UAUGAGAAUGCACAGCGAAAGAGGAAAUGUGUAAUCAUGCGACCCUGCUUCACUGCAUUGUAUCGGUAAAUACUAUAAAGAAGAAAUGUGCACAUGGCACGAAGCAGUAUCAGAACAAAUAUAUGUGAAUUGUCUCCAUAAGUGACGCAUAUUUAGACCUUCAAGAUCUAUUAAUAAACACCACUGCGAAACUGGAUGGCCAGAAACAGCAGUUGCUUCUUCCAUAAGAACCAGUCCUUCUUCGCAAAUAUGUAGUACCUACAAUGGCAAUAUUAAUUAUGAAUAUGUGGAAACCUAUAAAAUAUAUAAAUAAUAUAAACUGUUAUUUUUACAUGAUGUGUACUGUAUAAUGCUGCGUAUAGUGUUAUUAUACAAAUGAAACUUACCAGCAACAGCAAGU